GUGCCAGCCGCCGCGGUAAUACGUAGGGUCCGAGCGUUAUCCGGAAUUACUGGGCGUAAAGAGUUCGUAGGCGGAUUUUUAAGUCAGGUGUUAAAUAUGCAGGCUCAACUUGCAUGCUGCAUCUGAUACUGGGAGUCUUGAGAGUGGAAGAGGUAAGCGGAAUUUCCGGUGGAGCGGUAAAAUGCGUAGAUAUCGGAAAGAACACCAAUGGCGAAGGCAGCUUACUGGGCCAUUUCUGACGCUGAGGAACGAAAGCGUGGGGAGCGAUCGGGAUUAGAAACCCCUGUAGUCC
Molecule: ribosomal RNA, 292 nt
Filed under: uncultured bacterium
Lineage: Bacteria
Description: partial 16S ribosomal RNA
Rfam family: Bacterial small subunit ribosomal RNA
Source: RNAcentral